AGAGUUUGAUCCUGGCUCAGAAUCAACGCUGGCGGCGCGCUUAACACAUGCAAGUCGCACGAGAAAGGGGAGCAAUCCCUAAGUAAAGUGGCGUACGGGUGAGUAACACGUGGAUCAUCUACCUUUUAGUGGGGAAUACCCCCGGGAAACUGGGGACAAUACCGCAUAAGCUCGGAAGAGGAAAGCCGAAAGGCGCUGAAAGAGGAGUCCGCGGCUGAUUAGCUAGUUGGUGAGGUAACGGCCCACCAAGGCGAAGAUCGGUAGCCGGCCUGAGAGGGCACACGGCCACACUGGCACUGAAACACGGGCCAGACUCCUACGGGAGGCAGCAGUGGGGAAUCUUGCACAAUGGGGGAACCCCUGAUGCAGCGACGCCGCGUGAGUGAUGAAGCCCCUCGGGGUGUAAAGCUCUUUCGACGGGAAAGAUUAUGACGGU
This 436-nucleotide ribosomal RNA is filed under the name uncultured bacterium. Its description in RNAcentral is "bacterial SSU rRNA". It matches the Rfam family "Bacterial small subunit ribosomal RNA", at positions 8 to 458 of the family's 1533-position model. The record is from RNAcentral.